This 463-nucleotide ribosomal RNA is filed under the name uncultured bacterium. RNAcentral describes it as "partial 16S ribosomal RNA". It matches the Rfam family "Bacterial small subunit ribosomal RNA", at positions 28 to 507 of the family's 1533-position model. The record is from RNAcentral.
GAUGAACGCUGACAGAAUGCUUAACACAUGCAAGUCGAUGGGGAAGUGGUGCUUGCACCAUGGCAACCAUGGCGGACGGGUGAGUAACGCGUAAGGGACUUACCUGCAGGACUGGGAUAACAGGGGGAAACUCCUGACAAGACCGGAUAAUGUCAUGGAGCUGCAUGGCUUUAUGAUGAAAGGAGACGCCUGCGGAGAGCCUUGCGUCCUAUUAGCUAGUUGGUGAGGUAAUGGCUCACCAAGGCGAAGAUAGGUAGCCGGCCUGAGAGGGUGGACGGCCACAAGGGGACUGAGAUACGGCCCUUACUCCUACGGGAGGCAGCAGUGGGGAAUAUUGGACAAUGGGGGCAACCCUGAUCCAGCAAUUCUGUGUGCACGAAGAAGGUUUUCGGAUUGUAAAGUGCUUUCAGCAGGGAGGAAGUAAGUGACGGUACCUGCAGAAGAAGCGACGGCUAAAUACGUG